UACGUAGGGGGCUAGCGUUGUCCGGAAUCAUUGGGCGUAAAGCGCGCGCAGGCGGUCUUUUAAGUCUGAUGUGAAAGCCCACGGCUCAACCGUGGAGGGUCAUUGGAAACUGGGGGGCUUGAGUGCAGGAGAGAAGAGUGGAAUUCCACGUGUAGCGGUGAAAUGCGUAGAGAUGUGGAGGAACACCAGUGGCGAAGGCGACUCUUUGGCCUGUAACUGACGCUGAGGCGCGAAAGCGUGGGGAGCAAACAGG
This 253-nucleotide ribosomal RNA is filed under the name uncultured bacterium. RNAcentral's name for it is "partial 16S ribosomal RNA". It matches the Rfam family "Bacterial small subunit ribosomal RNA", at positions 524 to 776 of the family's 1533-position model. The record is from RNAcentral.